GGUAAAUCUACCAAUUGUCUCUCAUUUAUUGCUUCCCCUCUCCUACUGCCUUCAAAGAUAGCCAUAGCCUCCGUUAUGCAUGGUUCUCUCUUAUCUCUCGCAUUUCUUCACACUGUCGUGUCCUCCCGAUUGGUUUUGGCAUUGUACUCAUGGGCUCUUCUAGCCAGGGCCAUGGCUUGCCUUGCUUCCCUUGUAUCUUUCUGGUGUUUGUCUGGUCUGUCCCUAAGGUUCCUACUCGUCGCACCUACAUGCACUUCACUGUUUUGCUUGUCCAGAUUCAUGAGAGGGAUUUCAUAUACUCCCGACUGUUCUCCC
Molecule: long non-coding RNA, 315 nt
Filed under: Androctonus crassicauda
Lineage: Eukaryota; Metazoa; Arthropoda; Arachnida; Scorpiones; Buthidae
Source: RNAcentral